RNAcentral lists this transfer RNA (90 nucleotides) under Candidatus Wolfebacteria bacterium. RNAcentral describes it as "tRNA-Ser". It matches the Rfam family "tRNA". Rfam says of the family: Transfer RNA (tRNA) molecules are approximately 80 nucleotides in length. Their secondary structure includes four short double-helical elements and three loops (D, anti-codon, and T loops). Further hydrogen bonds mediate the characteristic L-shaped molecular structure. tRNAs have two regions of fundamental functional importance: the anti-codon, which is responsible for specific mRNA codon recognition, and the 3' end, to which the tRNAs corresponding amino acid is attached (by aminoacyl-tRNA synthetases). tRNAs cope with the degeneracy of the genetic code in two manners: having more than one tRNA (with a specific anti-codon) for a particular amino acid; and 'wobble' base-pairing, i.e. permitting non-standard base-pairing at the 3rd anti-codon position. The record is from RNAcentral. Lineage: Bacteria; Candidatus Wolfeibacteriota.
GGAGGGGUGCCGGAGUGGUCUAACGGGACGGCCUGGAGAGCCGUGACCUCGUAAGAGGUCUCGUGGGUUCAAAUCCCACCCCCUCCGCCU